GAUGAACGCUAGCCGCAGGCUUAAUACAUGCAAGUCGAGGGGCAGCACGAAUAGCAAUAUUUGGUGGCGACCGGCGCACGGGUGCGUAACACGUAUACAACCUACCUAUAACAGGGGGAUAGCCUUUCGAAAGAGAGAUUAAUACCCCGUAAUAAAUUGAGUGGCAUCACUUGAUUUUGAAAGCUACGGCGGUUAUAGAUGGGUAUGCGCCUGAUUAGCUAGUUGGUGAGGUAACGGCUCACCAAGGCGACGAUCAGUAGGGGAUCUGAGAGGACUAACCCCCACACUGGUACUGAGACACAGACCAGACUCCUACGGGAGGCAGCAGUAAGGAAUAUUGGUCAAUGGAGGCAACUCUGAACCAGCCAUGCCGCGUGCAGGAUGACGGCCCUAUGGGUUGUAAACUGCUUUUGUACCAGAGAAAACCUACUCACGUGUGAGUAGCUGAUAGUAUGGUAAGAAUAAGCAUCGGCUAACUUCGUGCCAG
Molecule: ribosomal RNA, 487 nt
Filed under: uncultured bacterium
Lineage: Bacteria
Description: bacterial SSU rRNA
Rfam family: Bacterial small subunit ribosomal RNA
Source: RNAcentral